RNAcentral lists this long non-coding RNA (668 nucleotides) under Cyanistes caeruleus (blue tit). RNAcentral's name for it is "lncRNA (ENSCCEG00000008581.1)". The record is from RNAcentral. Lineage: Eukaryota; Metazoa; Chordata; Aves; Passeriformes; Paridae.
AUACUCAUAUGCAGGUUUCUUAUCUUCUUUCAUUGCAUCAGCAAUAUGGGUUGAGAACAGAGCUCCCAUAACACCCUGCUCUCCAACAGAAACCUGCUACAGCUUCUCCAUUUGAUGAAGUUUCGAAUGAUCCUAGAUCCAAUUUCCCCUUUGAAACGGGGCAAAUGAACUUCAAGAAAUAUACCAUCAUCAACAUUACCAUCGUCAUGACCAUUAAAAUUAUAAAGAAGACACUUAUUCAAGCAAUUAAACUCUUUCCUGAACUGAAACUGGCACAGACAAAGAAUCUGCUCCCCAACACAUUUAGCUGCAGACAGAGCUCAAGGAGCCCUAACCAGAGCAAUUCCCCUGGCUGCAAGAACCUGGGUUAGGAUACUGGUUUGAAAGAUGUGUGCACCAGAGAAGGAAAGCCAUUCCACCAGAGCUGGAAUGAGAAAAAGGACAGUGUUUCUUAAGCCAAGAAUUCCAUAAAAAAUCCACAAACCUGUGGAUUGGUGAGCCAGGAUAUAUUGUGCUGUUAUUUAUUGCCACAGAGUUUUGAAGAUUGCAUUAACUUUCAAGACAAUUAAUCUUCCUAAUUAAAACUAAUUAAAAUUAAAAUUACGUUUUGCUCAGGUAUAGCAAUUUCUAUCUCCUGCUUAAUGAGAAAAUAGAAUUUCCACUAUUCG